Molecule: non-coding RNA, 137 nt
Organism: Caenorhabditis elegans
Lineage: Eukaryota; Metazoa; Nematoda; Chromadorea; Rhabditida; Rhabditidae
Source: Ensembl
CUCUCUCUCAGCUUGCCUGAGCCUUCUUCCAAAAAGGCAGAAGGAAGAGGAAAUUGAUGAAAUUCGACACCAAAUCGCAAAUGGUUCUCUUCACUAUUUAUUUGUUUUUCGUCAUACGUGAUUAACUAUUACUACUA